GUGGGGAAUCUUAGACAAUGGGCGCAAGCCUGAUCUAGCCAUGCCGCGUGAGCGAUGAAGGCCUUAGGGUUGUAAAGCUCUUUUGUCCGGGAAGAUAAUGACUGUACCGGAAGAAUAAGCCCCGGCUAACUUCGUGCCAGCAGCCGCGGUAAUACGAAGGGGGCUAGCGUUGUUCGGAAUCACUGGGCGUAAAGCGCACGUAGGCGGACCAUUAAGUCAGGGGUGAAAGCCUGGAGCUCAACUCCAGAACUGCCUUUGAUACUGAUGGUCUCGAGUAUGGAAGAGGUUGGUGGAACUGCGAGUGUAGAGGUGAAAUUCGUAGAUAUUCGCAAGAACACCGGUGGCGAAGGCGGCCAACUGGUCCAUUACUGACGCUGAGGUGCGAAAGCGUGGGGAGCAAACAGGAUUAGAUACCCUUGUAGUCC
RNAcentral lists this ribosomal RNA (425 nucleotides) under uncultured bacterium. RNAcentral describes it as "partial 16S ribosomal RNA". It matches the Rfam family "Bacterial small subunit ribosomal RNA", at positions 354 to 796 of the family's 1533-position model. The record is from RNAcentral.